GAUGAACGCUGGCGGCGUGCCUAAUACAUGCAAGUCGAGCGAACAGACGAGGAGCUUGCUCCUUUGACGUUAGCGGCGGACGGGUGAGUAACACGUGGAUAACCUACCUAUAAGACUGGGAUGACUUCGGGAAACCGGAGCUAAUACCGGAUAACAUGUUGAACCGCAUGGUUCAACAGUGAAAGACGGUCUUGCUGUCACUUAUAGAUGGAUCCGCGCCGCAUUAGCUAGUUGGUAAGGUAACGGCUUACCAAGGCAACGAUGCGUAGCCGACCUGAGAGGGUGAUCGGCCACACUGGAACUGAGACACAGUCCAGACUCCUACGGGAGGCAGCAGUAGGGAAUCUUCCGCAAUGGGCGAAAGCCUGACGGAGCAACGCCGCGUGAGUGAAGAAGGUCUUCGGAUCGUAAAACUCUGUUAUUAGGGAAGAACAAAUGUGUAAGUAACUAUGCACGUCUUGACGGUACCUAAUCAGAAAGCCACGGCUAACUACGUG
RNAcentral lists this ribosomal RNA (497 nucleotides) under uncultured bacterium. RNAcentral describes it as "partial 16S ribosomal RNA". It matches the Rfam family "Bacterial small subunit ribosomal RNA", at positions 28 to 507 of the family's 1533-position model. The record is from RNAcentral.